AAUUUUCGGCAAUGGGGGCAACCCUGACCGAGCGACGCCGCGUGAGUGAAGAAGGUCUUCGGAUUGUAAAGCUCUGUCGUAAGGGAAGAACCGUACCCGUAGGGCAUGACUGGUACCUGUCGGUACCUUACCAGCAAGCCACGGCAAACUAACGGCCAGCAGCCGCGGUAAUACGUAGUUGGCAAGCGUUAUCCGGAAUUAUUGGGCGUAAAGGGAGCGCAGGCGGCUUAUUAAGUCUAAGGUUAAAGUUCGGGGCUCAACCCCGUGAUGCCUUAGAAACUGCUAGACUAGAGUGCAGGAGAGGUGAGUGGAACUCCAUGUGUAGCGGUGAAAUGCGUAGAUAUAUGGAGGAACACCAGUGGCGAAGGCGGCUCACUGGCCUAUAACUGACGCUGAGGCUCGAAAGCGUGGGGAGCAAAUA
Molecule: ribosomal RNA, 421 nt
Filed under: uncultured bacterium
Lineage: Bacteria
Description: partial 16S ribosomal RNA
Rfam family: Bacterial small subunit ribosomal RNA
Source: RNAcentral